AAAAAGACCAUGCUUGUAUUAAAUCUUUUUAUUCUCCACAACUGUAUGACAGCUUAGGGGACAUUAAUAUUUGUGAAAUAAUUAAAGAAAUAACAGUGGAGAUGCAGACAUCUGAGCAGCCCGCUGAACCAGGUACAGUGUUCUCCUGAACCAGGUACAGCCUCCCCACAAAACAGGUACAGCGUCCCUGCUGAACCAGGUACAGCAUCCCCCUGAACCAGGUACAGUGUCCCCUUGGACCAGGUACAGCGUCCCC
Molecule: long non-coding RNA, 256 nt
Organism: Columba livia (rock pigeon)
Lineage: Eukaryota; Metazoa; Chordata; Aves; Columbiformes; Columbidae
Exons: 2
Source: RefSeq, a predicted model, not a curated record